This 465-nucleotide ribosomal RNA is filed under the name uncultured bacterium. RNAcentral's name for it is "partial 16S ribosomal RNA". It matches the Rfam family "Bacterial small subunit ribosomal RNA", at positions 339 to 795 of the family's 1533-position model. The record is from RNAcentral.
CUACGGGGGGCUCCAGUGAGGAAUUUUGCGCAAUGGGGGAAACCCUGACGCAGCAACGCCGCGUGAGUGAAGAAGGCCCUUGGGUCGUAAAGCUCUGUCAAUGGGGAAGAAGUUAUUAUGUGUUAAUAGCACAUUUUAUUGACGGUACCCAUGGAGGAAGCACCGGCUAACUCCGUGCCAGCAGCCGCGGUAAUACGGGGGGUGCAAGCGUUAUUCGGAAUUAUUGGGCGUAAAGGGCACGCAGGCGGUCCUGUCAGUCAGAUGUGAAAGCCCGGGGCUCAACCCCGGACGUGCAUUUGAAACAGCAGGACUUGAGUACGGGAGAGGAAAGGGGAAUUCCUGGUGUAGAGGUGAAAUUCGUAGAUAUCAGGAGGAACACCGGUGGCGAAGGCGCCUUUCUGGACCGAUACUGACGCUGAGGUGCGAAGGCGUGGGUAGCGAACGGGAUUAGAUACCCCGGUAGUC